RNAcentral lists this transfer RNA (76 nucleotides) under Novosphingobium sp. ST904. Its description in RNAcentral is "tRNA-Thr". It matches the Rfam family "tRNA". From Rfam's summary of the family: Transfer RNA (tRNA) molecules are approximately 80 nucleotides in length. Their secondary structure includes four short double-helical elements and three loops (D, anti-codon, and T loops). Lineage: Bacteria; Pseudomonadati; Pseudomonadota; Alphaproteobacteria; Sphingomonadales; Sphingomonadaceae. The record is from RNAcentral.
GCCGGCUUAGCUCAGUUGGUAGAGCACCUGAUUUGUAAUCAGGGGGUCGGGGGUUCGAACCCUCCAGCCGGCACCA